This 429-nucleotide ribosomal RNA is filed under the name Bacteroidota bacterium. RNAcentral describes it as "Bacteroidetes bacterium partial 16S ribosomal RNA". It matches the Rfam family "Bacterial small subunit ribosomal RNA", at positions 355 to 776 of the family's 1533-position model. Lineage: Bacteria; Pseudomonadati; Bacteroidota. The record is from RNAcentral. RNAcentral also lists the same sequence under 1 other name.
UAGGGAAUCUUCGGCAAUGGGGGGAACCCUGACCGAGCAACGCCGCGUGAGUGAAGAAGGUUUUCGGAUCGUAAAGCUCUGUUGUUAAGGAAGAACGAGUGUGAGAAUGGAAAGUUCAUGCUGUGACGGUACUUAACCAGAAAGGGACGGCUAACUACGUGCCAGCAGCCGCGGUAAUACGUAGGUCCCGAGCGUUGUCCGGAUUUAUUGGGCGUAAAGCGAGCGCAGGCGGUUAGAAAAGUCUGAAGUGAAAGGCAGUGGCUCAACCAUUGUAGGCUUUGGAAACUGUUUAACUUGAGUGCAGAAGGGGAGAGUGGAAUUCCAUGUGUAGCGGUGAAAUGCGUGGAUAUAUGGAGGAACACCGGUGGCGAAAGCGGCUCUCUGGUCUGUAACUGACGCUGAGGCUCGAAAGCGUGGGGAGCGAACAGG